UAAGUUGAUAAGCUUGAAUGUUUAUUUACGAGAUCAUUUCAUUGUUUUAAAUCUUAUUAUCUUUUAAUAUUAAAAAAAAUAUUCUUAAACUUUUGUGUGUGUAUAUUUGUGUAUCCAUAAAAAUAGCUAUUAAGGCGACCAGGGAAAAAAUCAUAAUUUUGGUCAAAAAUAGCUAUAUACUAAGCAUUUUUUAUUUGUUUUACUUUAUUUAAAGCCUAUUGUAUAUUAUCCCGAAGUUUCAUUCCAUAAAAAACAGAAAUAAGGAAAUUCGAUAUUUCGUGUACCACCAGCAUCCAAAUUUUCAAGUAUACAGAAAUUUAACUUUCCGGAAUAUAACGGAAAUUUUCCGGGUAUCUCCGUGGUACCAUCUCCGUGCAAUUAUGCAGUAUGGCGUUCAUCUCUUACGGAAAGAGAAUGGUAACUUGUUGCUGCUUGGGACAAUAAAGUUAAGUCAGCAACCGUCUACCAGACUGCAAGAUUCAGCUCUUCCAAAGGAUGUCGUACCUUUCCAGAUACACUGUGUUUUGUGUGGAUAAGAAAUGCAGAGUGGUACCACCAAUCACCUAAGCCACCAUUCCCCUAACAGACAAUAGGCUCAUUGGGACAGUUCCUGCAAAAUACAGAAAAGCUCUCAAUUGUAGCCCUACGAACUUCAGAUACUGCUGAUGGUGAAGCUUGGGUGCACCGGGCCGGUUUUCCAGCCGUGUGGAAUCAACAUCUCCAGCUGAACUGGGGCCGGGAAUUAUAUAAGACUCCUUAGCAGCAUGAGUGCCAGCCAGUCAUUGCUGUUCUUGCAUUGCUGAGGAGGACAGUCCUGCCAACAUAACAGUUUGUUCAAUAACAGGAGACAAACAGAAACACAGAGGUGCUAUACAUUCUGAUGGAAAAACAAAAGCAUCUCCCAUCAUUUUGGCGUGGCUCAGAUCAAGAGGAGAAUUUUAAGAAAGGUGAUGGUUGGGCACACACAAGAAGACAUAGAUCACAGGUGUCUAGCCAUAUGAGUAGAUAGGAGUGUCACACUCUGCCAAACUUACUUCAUCAGACGAGCAGAAAGCUUCUCAAGAUCCCGCACUGCACACUAAGACAUAGUCUUUGACUACAACAAGGUGAUGAAAGUACAGAGAGGUCCAAUUGAAAUCAAUUCUGUGCUGCUGUCAUUUCUUCAUUCUGGAAGUCGAUGGACAUGAUUUAUCAUGGCAUCAAGUGUGCAGUUUGCCGACUAUCAGCAGUCUUGUUCACCAGCUGUGCAACUUGAGCUGGUAGCUUUAUUGCUUGAAGUCACUGCAUAAGAGGGGAAAGGUGCAGGCUCAUCAAAAAGUCUCAAAAGUUGAAACUAGGAAAAAUAUUUUAUCAAGAGAGUGAAUCUAUUUUGAAAACAAUCGUUACAAUGAUUUGGUUUCCUUUGAAACUUGAUACAUACUAUGAAUUGAGAUUCUUAAAUAAAAAACCGCUAUUCAAAUAUCAGGAAACUGCCUUUUUCAUGCUAAAGGGUAAAUGAUGUCGCCAUUUCCUGUAUGUAUUUAAAUAAGAUAUGUCUCCACAAUUAAUAUUUUUAGGGAAUUUUUCUCAACCUAAUGAAUAAGAUUAAAUUGUACAGCGUUAUAUGAGCUUAAUAUGUGUUUUCUCAUUCUUUAAAAUUGGUGAAAAAUUGUCAGAAGAUAAUUAGACCAGUAUCCAUUACUGCAAUCAUACAAUCAAAUAUACAGGGACAUAUAAUAUAAUUAAACCCUGUUUAGGGGCACGAGGCAAACAGAGUUACUUUCAAACGUUAAAGCUGCACUCUCACACUUUGGAUGUUUUGACAACCUUUUUCAUUUUAUGUCUUGGAUUGGAACCAUCCAAUUUUUGCGAAAAAUUAAAUCCCAGAUUUUUCUAUUUAAGUUAAAACAUUGAUGUUUUUUAUGCACUUUUCUUAAACCGUUAGUAACAUUAAUUUUCGAACGGAAAUAUGAAAUCUGCGAUCUGAUCUUUUGUCAGCAAUCUAUUAUCAUUGGUUUGCAGAUAAUUACGCAAAAACUUGCUCAUUCGAAGACAAAAAAAGUUGUGGAAACGGUAUAUCUGUGAGAGUGCAGCUCUAAAUGUUUAAUUGCUUGAUUUUACUACUGUAUUAGAAAUUACAGGGAUUGGGGUAUAUUUUUAGUGUUUUUAUUGCUUGUUUUUGAUUCAUACAGUCAUACUUUAUUCUUCAGGGCACAACUUACAAAUAAACAAAACUGGAAAAUGGUCAUAUCAAUAUUACAGAUUGUCAGUUUAGACACAAAAUUGUCUCAAAAUCAGCUGAUUUGGUUAUCAUUCCUGUAAUUCAGUGAUAUUAGAUAAUUCACAAUAGAACCAAUCAAAAAUGUUUGGUAAAACUGCCGAAAAGUUCAUUUACAUUAAAUUGUUCGUAAUGCUUUUAGUCAUUGUUCGUAAUGCUUUUAGUCAUAAAACAUCAUUUUUUUUAACAUAAAUAUGAUGAACUGCAAUCUGAUCUUUUUUCAGCAGUCUUAUAUCACUUAAAAUUGGGUCUAGACAUUUCUGCAAAAAAUACUCCAUUUAUUGACUAACAAUAAAAGAGUACCGGUAGUCAAAACGAUCAAUCGGUGAGAUUGCAGCUUUAAAUACACCUUUUAAGACCGCUGUAAAAUUCCAAUGGUUUGCCUAAAUCUUUAAAACUAGCAUACUGUUUAAUUGACAACCAUACUUAUUGUUUAAAAGUGUCAUGAUAUCUUUGUACAAUGUUUUUAUAUAAUUCAUUAAAGAAGUCAAAACAAAUUUGUUUAUCUUGUAAUUUGUUAUCUAUUAUUUAAAUGACUCAGACA
Molecule: long non-coding RNA, 2801 nt
Organism: Mya arenaria
Lineage: Eukaryota; Metazoa; Mollusca; Bivalvia; Myida; Myidae
Exons: 7
Source: RefSeq, a predicted model, not a curated record